GACGAACGCUGGCGGCGUGCUUAACACAUGCAAGUCGAACGCUGAAGCUCAGCUUUUGUUGGGUGGAUGAGUGGCGAACGGGUGAGUAACACGUGAGUAACCUGCCCCCUUCUUUGGGGUAACGCCCGGAAACGGGUGCUAAUACUGGAUAUUCACUGGUCUUCGCAUGGGGGUUGGUGGAAAGGGUUUUUCUGGUGGGGGAUGGGCUCGCGGCCUAUCGGCUUGUUGGUGGGGUGAUGGCCUACCAAGGCUUUGACGGGUAGCCGGCCUGAGAGGGUGACCGGUCACAUUGGGACUGAGAUACGGCCCAGACUCCUACGGGAGGCAGCAGUGGGGAAUAAUGCACAAUGGGCGCAAGCCUGAUGCAGCGACGCCGCGUGAGGGAUGGAGGCCUUCGGGUUGUGAACCUCUUUCGCUCAUGGUCAAGCCGCAACAAUGGUUGUGGUGAGGGUAGUGGGUAAAGAAGCGCCGGCUAACUACGUG
This 483-nucleotide ribosomal RNA is filed under the name uncultured bacterium. Its description in RNAcentral is "partial 16S ribosomal RNA". It matches the Rfam family "Bacterial small subunit ribosomal RNA", at positions 28 to 507 of the family's 1533-position model. The record is from RNAcentral.